Haliotis rubra (blacklip abalone) is the source of this 508-nucleotide long non-coding RNA. RefSeq lists it as uncharacterized. Lineage: Eukaryota; Metazoa; Mollusca; Gastropoda; Lepetellida; Haliotidae. The record is from RefSeq and is a predicted model, not a curated record. The transcript is spliced from 2 exons.
ACAGAUAUACACUCUCCCAUCAUAUGUCCAGGUGGAAUAUAUCUUCUGAUCCUUCCUCGGGUCUCUGGCCAACUUGAACAAGUGAUUCCUGUGCUUAGUCAGAUGCUCGUUGAUAUAGAUACCGUCUCGUUUACCUUGGAGUUUGGACUUGUUCUUGAUCACCUUGUUGCGGUCCCAGUAGCUCACAAACUUCACCACUACACUCCUGUUCUGACCUCGCUGUCUUUUCCCCACUCUAUGGCAUCUGUCGAUGUCUGAUGGUGAGAUAUCCGGGUGUACAUCCCUCAGCACAUCUAGUACAACCUGGUCAAUGUCCUCUUCCUCCCGUCCCCAGUCAGGCUCCUUGAUUCCUGCGAUCCUCACAGAGUUCCUCCGACUAUACUGCUCUAACUCGUCGGUCUUGAGCUGCAGUUCGUCUCUCAACUCCUGUAUCUCCUGCUUGAGGGGUUUGAAAAAAACAUGUCAGCGGCCACACAGCCUUAAAGACCAAAGACAAGCAUAUUUUCGG